This 925-nucleotide ribosomal RNA is filed under the name uncultured marine bacterium. RNAcentral describes it as "bacterial SSU rRNA". It matches the Rfam family "Bacterial small subunit ribosomal RNA", at positions 56 to 1025 of the family's 1533-position model. The record is from RNAcentral.
UGCAAGUCGAACGCAGUAGCAAUACUGAGUGGCAAACGGGUGAGUAUAAUGUGGGAAUCUGCCUUUUGGUUUGGAAUAACACGGGGAAACUUGUGCUAAUACCGAAUAAGCCCUUACGGGGAAAGUUUUAACGCCGAAAGAUGAGCCUGCACUUGAUUAGCUAGUUGGUAAGGUAAAAGCUUACCAAGGCAACGAUCAAUAGCUGUUCUUAGAGGAAGACCAGCCACAUUGGGACUGAGACACGGCCCAGACUCCUACGGGAGGCAGCAGUGGGGAAUCUUGCACAAUGGGGGAAACCCUGAUGCAGCGAUGCCGCGUGAGUGAAGAAGGCCCUUGGGUUGUAAAACUCUUUCGUCGGGGAAGAAAAUGACUGUACCCGAAUAAGAAGGUCCGGCUAACUUCGUGCCAGCAGCCGCGGUAAUACGAAGGGACCUAGCGUAGUUCGGAAUUACUGGGCUUAAAGAGCUCGUAGGUGGUUAAAAAAGUUGAUGGUGAAAUCCCAAGGCUCAACCUUGGAACUGCCAUCAAAACUUUUUAGCUAGAGUGUGAUAGAGGUAAGUGGAAUUUCUAGUGUAGAGGUGAAAUUCGUAGAUAUUAGAAAGAACACCAAAUGCGAAGGCAACUUACUGGGUCACUACUGACACUGAGGAGCGAAAGCAUGGGUAGCGAAGAGGAUUAGAUACCCUCGUAGUCCAUGCCGUAAACGAUGUGUACUAGACGUUGGAAAUAUAUUUUUCAGUGUCGCAGCGAAAGCAUUAAGCACACCGCCUGUGAGUACGACCGCAAGGUUAAAACUCAAAUGAAUUGACGGGGACCCGCACAAGCAGUGGAGCAUGUGGUUUAAUUCGAAGAUACGCGCAGAACCUUACCAACACUUGACAUGUUCGUCGCGAGACUAAGAGAUUAGUCUUUUCAGUUUGGCUGG